RNAcentral lists this ribosomal RNA (253 nucleotides) under uncultured bacterium. Its description in RNAcentral is "partial 16S ribosomal RNA". It matches the Rfam family "Bacterial small subunit ribosomal RNA", at positions 524 to 776 of the family's 1533-position model. The record is from RNAcentral.
UACGGAGGGUGCAAGCGUUAUCCGGAUUUACUGGGUUUAAAGGGUGCGUAGGUGGGCUGGUAAGUCAGUGGUGAAAUCCCCGAGCUUAACUUGGGAACUGCCAUUGAUACUAUCAGUCUUGAAUACUGUGGAGGUCAGCAGAAUAUGUCAUGUAGCGGUGAAAUGCUUAGAUAUGACAUAGAAUACCAAUUGCGAAGGCAGCUGGCUACACAAAUAUUGACACUGAGGCACGAAAGCGUGGGGAUCAAACAGG